UACGUAGGGUGCGAGCGUUGUCCGGAAUUAUUGGGCGUAAAGAGCUUGUAGGCGGUUUGUCGCGUCUGCUGUGAAAAUCCGGGGCUCAACCCCGGACUUGCAGUGGUUACGGGCAGACUAGAGUGUGGUAGGGGAGACUGGAAUUCCUGGUGUAGCGGUGGAAUGCGCAGAUAUCAGGAGGAACACCGAUGGCGAAGGCAGGUCUCUGGGCCACUACUGACGCUGAGAAGCGAAAGCAUGGGGAGCGAACAGG
RNAcentral lists this ribosomal RNA (253 nucleotides) under uncultured bacterium. RNAcentral describes it as "partial 16S ribosomal RNA". It matches the Rfam family "Bacterial small subunit ribosomal RNA", at positions 524 to 776 of the family's 1533-position model. The record is from RNAcentral.